GUGUUGCCAUUGCUGCGUAAGUUACCUCUCAGUAUUGUGGAUGAACUUGAACAAGAUUUGAAGCAGAUGAUUCUUCGACGCUCUUUCUUGACAGUUGUCCAUGCUUGUAUCAAAUGCCUUCGCAGUAUGAGUAAGAUUGCUGGAAAGGGGGCAGAUGUAAUUGAGCAUCUUAUCCAGGUCUUCUUCAAAUGUUUGGAUACCCAGGCAAUUGUAAACAAACAGCAAGUUGGGCGAUCUCUCUUCUGUAUCGGCUUACUUAUUCGUUAUGGCAACUGUUUGCUAGCAAGCUCUGGUAAUAAACUUGUUGAUGUCAGAAGGAGCCUCAGCUUGUUUAUGAAGUAUCUUGCCGUGGAUGAUUAUUCUCUUAAGGUUAGAUCAUCGCAGGCACUAGGAUAUGUUCUAAUUGCAAGGCCUGAAUUUAUGUUAGAACAUGACAUUGGAAAGAUACUGGAGGAAACACUGUCUUCUCAUGCUGAUGCUCGACUUAAGAUUCAAGCAUUGCAAAACAUGUUCGAGUAUCUUCUUGACGCUGAAAGCAAAAUGGAAGCAGAAGUUGAUGAUAAUGUGCCUGGUCACUCGGUCAGAGCUGGGCAGAGUGUACCUGUUGCUGCCGGGGCUGGAGAUACAAGCAUAUGUGGGGGUAUUGUUCAGUUGUACUGGGAUAAUAUUUUGGGCCGAUGUUUGGAUUGUGAUGAACAAGUUCGACAAUCAGCCUUGAAGAUUGUUGAAAUUGUGCUGCGCCAAGGUCUUGUUCAUCCCAUCACCUGUAUUCCAUAUCUCAUAGCACUUGAAACAGAUCCUCUGGAGUCAAAUUCAAAAUUGGCUCAUCAUCUCCUAAUGAAUAUGAAUGAGAAGUAUCCUGCAUUUUUUGAAAGCCGCUUGGGUGAUGGACUUCAAAUGUCCUUUAUGUUCAUGCAAGCUAUUUGUGUUAUUCCUGAUGAAAAUGUUAACCACAAGACCCCAUCUAAGAUCCCUGUUUCUGGAAAAGGGAAACCUGAGUCUGACUCAAUCACACAAUCAAGAGUUGGGGUUUCUCGAAUAUACAAGCUCGUCCGAGGGAACCGGAUGUCGAGGAAUGAAUUUAUGUCCUCAAUAGUGCGAAAAUUUGAUAAUCCAAAAUGGAACAAAUUUGUAAUAGCUCUCUUAACGUACUGCACAGAGGUUCUUGCCUUGCUCCCAUUCAUUGCACCUGAUGAACCACUUUAUUUAAUCUAUGCUAUCAAUAGAGUAGUUCAGGUUAGGGCUGGUCAACUGGAGGCGAACUUCAAAGCCUGGUGUUCAAGCUUAUUACGGAGUGAGGGUGACGUUACACCUCAUGGGAAUGGAAUGCAUCAACAAGCGCCAAAUGAACCUAUUCAUUCAACCCAAGUUAUGUCAACGGACUUAAAUGGUACAUUUCAGCAAAGUGUAGAUGUUCAGCCCAACCUCGAUGACAUGAAGAAUAGGAUGAGGGCCAAUAGAAAAGGGUUUUGGGUGACUUUGGUCAAUGUUGACCAAAAAGUCAACUGUUGACCAAAGUCAACAAUUGGUCAAAAAUGUCAAAUUUUGUAUUUUCUUGUAUGGAAUCACAUGUAAUGGUUUAAAAUGACAUGAAAUAAAUUGAAAUGGAUUAACAAAUGGUUUGAAGUUGGUUUCCAAAUUGUUUUUUUUUAUGACUUGGAUGACUUUUGAUGUACAUGAACAAGGCCAUGAAAUGAGACCAUAAGGUUAGGGUUUUGACAUAGUAUCCAUGAACCAAUAACAUGACUGGCAAGUGGCUAGAAACACAAGAAACUUGGUUGUUCAGAUGACCCAGACCAUAGAUGUAUCCACAAUCACAACACCAUGACUUUGGAUCAAAAACCAAUCCUCAUAUAAAACCAAAGUAAGGUUAGGCCAAGCAUGCCAAACAAACAUAAAAAUUUAGGACCAAAAUCGGGGUAUGACAAUAACAUCCAGUUUGACAUUCAAUAAAUCCUGUAUUAGCUAAACCUGCAGUAUACUACUCAAGUAUGUCAUGACAUCAGCCAAGACAUCAGAGUACAACUAGAUAUUCUAACAUACAAUGCAGUCAAGCAAACAUCUCCACAGCAUGUCAUGACAUCAGUCAAGACAUUAGAAUCCAGCUAGUGUUUUACCAUACAAUGCAGCCAAUUAAACAUCUACAAAAUCAAUCCACACAUCUUUGAAAUUUUUACCACGAACUACGGGGUUUUGAUCCCUCAUUUAUGUUGGUACGUAAACAUAAGACCAAAAUUCUUGUCAGACACAAACUGUAAAUAAUGAAUUCUUUUCUCAUCCCCUCAUUCUAUUUUUAAAACGAACAUCUUUUCAACUAAAAUAAGUACACACAAAAAGGGCUCCCCAGGAGUACCUAAGACACUUUGGGUGCUAAUACAUUCCAUCUGUGUAACCAACCCCCUUACCUAUAAUCUCUGACAUUUUAUUAGUUUUGAUUUUAAAACUUCUUAUCUUUGGGUUUUGUUCGUACUUUUUCCCUUUUUCUUUGGAAAUAAUAAAAGCGCGGUUGCGACUCUGGUUUUAUUGACGUUGAGUUAACCAAUAGCCCAGUGGUCAUAAAUUUACCACUACACUUUCCUUCAGGAAUAAAUAAAGUUUAGUGGUGAGUCUGUUAUAUCUUCGAGCGUGCAGUGCGCUCAAGUAUUUUUCACGGUGUAAUAGUUGCACCCGCUAGUAACAAUGAAAGAGACACCACUAUAGUGCAAAACCCCCAGUUUUUUAUACAGAAAAAUUUGACUAUUGGAAAGAUAGAAUAUAAAGUUUUUUUCUCGGUCAUGAUGUGGAUCUAUGGGACAUGGUAGUUGAUGGCUACAUUCAACCUGUAGAUGGCAGUGGUAAUAAGGUAGAAAGAAGAAUGAUGAAUGAUCAAUAAAAGAAAGAUUACAAGAAUCAUCAUAAAGCAAGAACAAUCAUGUUAAAUGUUAUAUCAUACUCUGAGUAUGAAAAGAUCAUAAAUAGAGACACAACAAAGUCUAUAUUUGAUUCUCGAAGGGUGAUUCAUGAAGAAAACGCUCAAGUAAAAGAAACCAAGGCGCUUGCCUUGAUACAAAAGUAUGAAGCCUUCAAGGUGGAAUAUACGGAACAUGUUAAGAACAUGUUCUCAUGGUUUCAGACUCUUUUUGCAGGACUGAAGAUUCUGGACAAAGGUUACUCAACUGCAGAUCAUGUUAAGAAAAUUAUUAGAACCUUACUCAAGAUAUGGAUGCAUAUGGUAACUGUGCUAAAACUAUCAAAGGAUAUGAAUAACACAACUCUUGAAGAACUUGUGAGUUCUUUGAGAAGUCAUAAGAUAGAGCUUAAAGAGGAUGAGCCUCAAAGAAAAGUUAAAUUUGUGGCUCUAAAAUCUAUGGGAAAGUUUGAAAAGACUAAAGCAUUUCAAGCUGAAGAAGAAGAGGAUUCUGAAGAAGACUCUAAAAAAGAUGAUGAAUUGUCCCUUCUUUCCAAAUGAGUUAAUCAACUCGGGAAGAAAAGGCAAGGCAAGUUCAGAAGCUCCAGAAGGACAGGCGGCCGCUCUGAGUCUACAUCUGGACCAAAGAAGUCAGGUGCUGGAAAAGAUGUUAUUUUCUUUGAGUGUAAGGAGCCAGAUCACUACAAGAAUAAGUGUUCUGAGCCAAGGAAAGAUAGACCAAAGAAGAAAGACUUCAGAGGAAAUAAGAAAGGUUUGAUGGCUACCUGGGAUGACUUUGAAUCCUCAGAAGAUGAUUCGGAGGAAGAGCAAGCUAAUGUGGGGUUGAUGGAAAGCACAAUAACAUCUGAUGAAAAGAUCCAAUCAAAAUCAAAAUAUGAGUCAGACUCUGAAGAGGUAUUUCCUAUCUUAUCUCCCUCUAAAUUAGAAUCUCGUCUUUCUGAAAUUCUGGAAAAAUAUUAGAAGCUUUAGAACAAAUAUAAGGAUCUGAAACAAGUCCAAGUAUCUGAAUAUGAAGCACAUAGUAAGCUUAAGAAAGAUUUUUCCACCUUGGACGAAGAAAAAUGUAUUCUGAAAAAUGAAAACUCCGCUCUUCAAAGAAAAUUUUCUAAACUUGAGGAAGAAAUUCUUUCAAAAGCUUAUGUGGAUUCCGAAAAUGUCAUAAAGAAAUAUGACAAAGCUACUUGAGAAGUUUGUAGAUCUAGAGACCACUUAUUCAGGCUCUGAAGGUAAAAUUUUAGAAGCUAAAGAUAAUUAGGCAAAAGACUCUGAAAUUGUUCAACCAGAAAUUAUUAAAGUUCAGACUCCUAUGAAAAAGCACAAACAAAUAUCCUCACACUCUGAAGAAUUAAUUUUGGGAGAUAAAACAUAACCAAUCAUAACUAGAUCAUCAUUCAAACUUUCUAAAGAAAUACUCAUGGGUUUGGUAUCCCUCAUAGAACCUACAUUAGUUGAUGAAACACUUCUGGACACUUAGUGGAUUCUGGAAAUGCAAGAAAAACUGAACAAAUUCUCCAGAAAUGAUGUGUGGAUUCUUGUGUCAAAACCCAAAGGAAUUGAUCUCAUUGGGACCAAAUGGGUAUUCAGAAACAAGCAAAAUGAAAAAGGAGAAGUGGUAAGAAACAAGGUCAGACUGGUUGCACAAGGCUAUAGUCAGCAAGAGGGGAUUGACUAUACUGAGACCUUUGCACCAGUUGUCAGGUUAGAGUCUAUUUGUCUCUAAAUUUCUUUUGCUGUAAAUCAUAACAUCAUCUUGUGUCAUACUCCAAUUUUGUCGGAGAAUUUUACUAUUAUAUGAGCUUUAGCUGUAAUUUAUCUCGAAUAAAUGAGAUAACCCAUUUGAUAGUAAGGUGAGAUUCAAGGAGGUACAAGUGUGUAAGGUUGUUGUUUAAACCCCAUUGUUGUCAAUUAUAUUUGUUUUUUAGUCAAAAGUUAAUAAAAGAGGUCAAAGCUUGUUUUUUAAAUUUUAAUUAUUAUUUCCAUUUUUAUUUUUAAUCAUUUUUUAAAAAUUAAUAUUUUCACUAUUAUGUAUUUUUAAUCCAAAAAAAGGAAGAUUUUAAAUUUGAUUUGUUAUUUGUAGCAUUUUUUUCACAUCUUGAAGAGCAAGUUAGUUUUUAGGAAAGAUUUAAUUCGUUAAAAAUGCAAAGAAUCUUAAUCAAAUUAUUUCAGAUUUAAAAUUUAAUUUUUUUUUACGUUCACUUUUUGACUUUAACCUAAUUUUUUAAUGUAUAAUAGACCAAGUUUCUUACACCAAUGCCCAUCGGUUCUUACACAAAAAAAAACACAUGGUACAUAUUCAUACACACUCUCAUACACCAACUUUUCUCUUAGAAUUCACAUACACAUUUUCAUCCACAUUGUAUAUAAUUCCACACUACAAUACUCAUUGAUGUACCCGUUUUACACAUACAAGUCAUCCACCAUACUCUCUCACUCUCAUUGACAAAGAAAAAAAUAGGACAACAAAUCCUAAUCAUGUUACACGUUUUGUAUCCACCACUACAGCAUUCAACCAUACCAAUUUCCACACACUGGAAAACCUACCUCUUCACGUUUUGCUUAUGCCGUAAAAAAAGAACCAUUCGCAAUCAUAAACCAAAAACAUCAAAGUCACCAACCUAUCUCCAACCAUUAAUCUAACACCAUACCUUCACAAAAUCAUCAUUCAACAAAAAAAACACAACACUUCCAUCCCUAACAUUCCUUUAACACCACAAAAUUCACAAAAAAGAAACUCAAAACAUAAACUCCUUCAUAAACCAAGCCGAAAAUCAAUCUUUUCCUCCACCAAUCUCCAAACCUCACUCAACAAUAACACAAUCAAAAACCACCAACCUUGAAUCAUCCCAUAUCACCAUCAACAAAAUAACAACAUUAUAGUAGAACAAAAUAAAUUCACCAACGAAAGUCAAAACAACAAUAUUCCAACAACAAAAUCAUAAAAACAACUAUUGGAAAUGGAGAAGAAGGAGAAGUAAAGGCCAAUGUGACGCAACCGCUGCUACUGCCAUGUGAAAUCACUCGCCGCGCCAUCUCCUCCAUCGACCAUCCCCACCGUAGACCAUCAUCUUCGCGCCGCAAACCACCAGGGACCUUCUCACACCGGAAGACGUCGACAAAGCCACCAGUCUUCGUCGCCCUCUUUGUCUUCAAAGAUCCAUCGUGAAAUCUGCGACCGAAUCAAGAAGCUCCCUCCGUCGCCGUUCGAAGUCCGCUGGCCCACUAAUCUCCUCCGCUCCACUCGGUUAUCCUCUUUUCUUCGAUUUCUCUAAUAUGUUGGAUUACGUUUGUUCUUCAAUUUAACUUGUGAAAAAUGGAUUGUGGUUUUAUCUUGAAAGAGAAAAAGAGAAAGAUGGAUAAGAAGUAUGCGAUCAUUCUUUGCCUUGUUUUGAUACGUGGCACUUGGCCAUUGAAUGGAGGUUCUUGGUACAUGGGGCGCCGCCCUCUGAAAUACUUGUAUGAAAACAUAUAAAUUCAUAUUUUUAAAAACAUUUAAUAAGAAAUGAGAAAAUUUUAAAUUUAUUUUAAAUUAAUUCAUUUUUAAUUGGAUUAAUGAGUUAGUUGUGAUUAUUUUUAAUUGGAUUCAUAUUUUUAUUUUUUAAUUAAUAAUAAAAUUGUGAUUGAUUGUGUAUAUAAAUAUUAAGUUUGUUUUCAUCUGAGAAUUUUCCUCUUUAUUAAUUGAGUUUUUUUUAUUAAUUAAGUUAGUACAAUUAGGACUCUUAGAGACGUGGACUGGGCCUUGAGCCUUGUCCUUUUCUAAUCACCCUUCACUCAUC
This 6681-nucleotide long non-coding RNA is filed under the name Lathyrus oleraceus (garden pea). RNAcentral describes it as "Pisum sativum (pea) long non-coding RNA (PSAT_LNC040438)". The record is from RNAcentral. Lineage: Eukaryota; Viridiplantae; Streptophyta; Magnoliopsida; Fabales; Fabaceae.